AACGAACGCUGGCGGCAUGCCUAAUACAUGCAAGUCGAACGAGAUCUUCGGAUCUAGUGGCGCACGGGUGCGUAACGCGUGGGAAUCUGCCCUUGGGUUCGGAAUAACAGCGGGAAACUGCUGCUAAUACCGGAUGAUGACGUAAGUCCAAAGAUUUAUCGCCCAGGGAUGAGCCCGCGUAGGAUUAGGUAGUUGGUGGGAUAAAGGCCUACCAAGCCUACGAUCCUUAGCUGGUCUGAGAGGAUGAUCAGCCACACUAGGACUGAGACACGGCCCAGACUCCUACUGGAGGCAGCAGUAGGGAAUAUUGGACAAUGGGGGCAACCCUGAUCCAGCAAUGCCGCGUGAGUGAUGAAGGCCUUAGGGUUGUAAAGCUCUUUUACCCGGGAUGAUGAUGACAGUACCGGGAGAAUAAGCCCCGGCUAACUCCGUGCCAGCAGCCGCGUUAA
RNAcentral lists this ribosomal RNA (449 nucleotides) under uncultured bacterium. RNAcentral's name for it is "partial 16S ribosomal RNA". It matches the Rfam family "Bacterial small subunit ribosomal RNA", at positions 29 to 523 of the family's 1533-position model. The record is from RNAcentral.